AGCAGCCGCGGUAAUUCCAGCUCCAAUAGCGUAUAUUAAAGUUGUUGCAGUUAAAAAGCUCGUAGUUGAAUUUCGGGGUUAGUAGGUUGGUCAUGCCUCUGGUAUGUACUGGUCUCACUGAUUCCUCCUUCCUGAUGAACCGUAAUGCCAUUAAUUUGGUGUUGCGGGGAAUUUGGACUGUUACUUUGAAAAAAUUAGAGUGUUUAAAGCAAGCUAACGCUUGAAUACAUUAGCAUGGAAUAAUGAAAUAGGACGUUCGAUCCUAUUUUGUUGGUUUCUAGGAUUGACGUAAUGAUUAAUAGGGAUAGUUGGGGGCAUUAGUAUUCAAUUGUCAGAGGUGAAAUUCUUGGAUUUAUUGAAGACUAACUACUGCGAAAGCAUUUGCCAAGGAUGUUUUCAUUAAUCAAGAACGAAAGUUAGGGGAUCGAAGACGAUCAGAUACCGUCGUAGUCUUAACCAUAAACUAUGCCGACUAGGGAUCGGAUGA
RNAcentral lists this ribosomal RNA (487 nucleotides) under uncultured Glomus. Its description in RNAcentral is "SSU rRNA". It matches the Rfam family "Eukaryotic small subunit ribosomal RNA", at positions 569 to 1060 of the family's 1831-position model. The record is from RNAcentral. Lineage: Eukaryota; Fungi; Glomeromycota; Glomeromycetes; Glomerales; Glomeraceae.